UGGGGAAUAUUGGACAAUGGGCGCAAGCCUGAUCCAGCCAUGCCGCGUGAGUGAUGAAGGCCCUAGGGUUGUAAAGCUCUUUCACCGGUGAAGAUAAUGACGGUAACCGGAGAAGAAGCCCCGGCUAACUUCGUGCCAGCAGCCGCGGUAAUACGAAGGGGGCUAGCGUUGUUCGGAUUUACUGGGCGUAAAGCGCACGUAGGCGGACUUUUAAGUCAGGUGUGAAAUCCCGGGGCUCAAUCCCGGAACUGCCUUUGAUACUGGAAGUCUUGAGUAUGGUAGAGGUGAGUGGAAUUCCGAGUGUAGAGGUGAAAUUCGUAGAUAUUCGGAGGAACACCAGUGGCGAAGGCGGCUCACUGUACCAUUACUGACGCUGAGGUGCGAAAGCGUGGGGAGCAAACAGG
RNAcentral lists this ribosomal RNA (404 nucleotides) under Actinomycetes bacterium. RNAcentral's name for it is "Actinobacteria bacterium partial 16S ribosomal RNA". It matches the Rfam family "Bacterial small subunit ribosomal RNA", at positions 355 to 776 of the family's 1533-position model. The record is from RNAcentral. Lineage: Bacteria; Bacillati; Actinomycetota; Actinomycetes.